GACGAACGCUGGCGGCGUGCUUAACACAUGCAAGUCGAGCGGUAAGGCCCUUUCGGGGGUACGACGAGCGGCGAACGGGUGAGUAACACGUGGGUGACCUGCCCUCAGCUCUGGGAUAAGCCUGGGAAACCGGGUCUAAUACUGGAUAUGACUCCAUGACGCAUGUUGUGGGGUGGAAAGCCUUGUGCGGCUGAGGAUGGGCCCGCGGCCUAUCAGC
Molecule: ribosomal RNA, 217 nt
Filed under: uncultured bacterium
Lineage: Bacteria
Description: partial 16S ribosomal RNA
Rfam family: Bacterial small subunit ribosomal RNA
Source: RNAcentral